This is a long non-coding RNA of Eurytemora carolleeae, 651 nucleotides long. RefSeq lists it as uncharacterized. The record is from RefSeq and is a predicted model, not a curated record. NCBI's taxonomy places the organism in Eukaryota, Metazoa, Arthropoda, Copepoda, Calanoida, Temoridae. The transcript has 2 exons.
UGAAUACGCCACUGUGUACAUUACAGAUUUCUUUUUUUCAGCAGAGCCUAGAAAAGGCUGUUGUUGAGAGCAGUGAGGUUGAAGAGGCUACUGGGAGUGAAGUGGAGGCUGUUAGAAGUAGUAUGGAGGCUACGGAGGCCAUGGACGAGGCUGAUAUGUAACUUAUCAGUGUCAUCUCAAUAGAUGAGUCCUGAACGUACAAAUACUUCUGUGGUCUCCGUUUUAUUCUGAUCUUAUAUUAUAUUCUAAAAUAACUUUUUUUGAGUGGACAACAUCACCCCAUGUAAUGAUUUAAAUAGGAUUUAAACUUUAGAAUCUGACUUAUAAUACAUUUUAGAAAAUAAUUAAUAUACCAGCCUCCCCCCGCACCCGGACAAAAAAAACGGUUAAUUGAAUAUAAAUCAAACUUUGAUUAAGGGCCCCAAUUGCAGAUUUCUUGGAAAUCCAAAAUAAUUUUAAUUAACCCUUGGUCCAUUUUUGUCUUAGCUAGCUGAUCUACUCCAAAGUCAUUCGCCAACUUUCCCCUUUUUUAUGAACAAUUUUUAUGUUGUUUUGUCAUGUGUUGUGUUUACUUUGUACUGUUAAGUACAUUGUACCUUUUACUGAUUAUGUACUCUUUCCGUACUUAAGUAAAUAAAUUUGUAUUUUGUA